This 468-nucleotide ribosomal RNA is filed under the name uncultured bacterium. RNAcentral describes it as "partial 16S ribosomal RNA". It matches the Rfam family "Bacterial small subunit ribosomal RNA", at positions 28 to 507 of the family's 1533-position model. The record is from RNAcentral.
GACGAACGCUGGCGGCGUGCUUAACACAUGCAAGUCGAACGGAAAGGCCCUGCUUUCGUGGGGUGCUCGAGUGGCGAACGGGUGAGUAACACGUGAGUAACCUGCCCUUGACUUUGGGAUAACUUCAGGAAACUGGGGCUAAUACCGUAUAGGAGCUCCUGCUGCAUUGUGGGGGUUGGAACGUUUCGGCGGUAGGGGCUGGACUGGCGGCUUAUCAGCUAGUUGGUGGGGUAGUGGAUUACCAAGGCUUUGACGGGUAGCCGGCCUGGGAGGGUGACCGGCCACAUGGGGACUGCGAGACGGACCAGACUGCUACGGGAGGCAGCAGGGGGGAAUAUUGCACAAUGGGCGGGAGCCGGAUGCAGCAACGCCGCGUGCGGGAAGACGGCCUUCGGGGUGUGAACCGCUUUAGCCUGUGACGAAGCGGGAGUGACGGUAAUGAGUAAAGAAGCACCGGCUAACUACGUG